Molecule: transfer RNA, 73 nt
Filed under: Felis catus (domestic cat)
Lineage: Eukaryota; Metazoa; Chordata; Mammalia; Carnivora; Felidae
Rfam family: tRNA
About the family: Transfer RNA (tRNA) molecules are approximately 80 nucleotides in length. Their secondary structure includes four short double-helical elements and three loops (D, anti-codon, and T loops). Further hydrogen bonds mediate the characteristic L-shaped molecular structure. tRNAs have two regions of fundamental functional importance: the anti-codon, which is responsible for specific mRNA codon recognition, and the 3' end, to which the tRNAs corresponding amino acid is attached (by aminoacyl-tRNA synthetases). tRNAs cope with the degeneracy of the genetic code in two manners: having more than one tRNA (with a specific anti-codon) for a particular amino acid; and 'wobble' base-pairing, i.e. permitting non-standard base-pairing at the 3rd anti-codon position.
Source: Rfam by way of RNAcentral
ACCUGGUUGACUCAGUCAGUAGAGCGUGUGACUCUUGAUCUCAGGGUUGUGAGUUCAAGCCCCACAUUGGGUG